CUGAAACUUGAGGCGGGAGGUUGCCUGCCUGCCUUGCAGGCUAAAGGCAGUAGGCACCCAGGACAGAGCAGUGUUGCAGGCAGAGAUCCAGGGAGCUGAAGGCAGCUCCUGGCAAGCUGCGGCUAUGAGGGCACUAUGUGUGCCUGCACACUUACCAGAGAUAGGCAGGAUGACUCUGCUGGAUGGGACAGAAUCAUUCAGAAAUUGGAUGGGACAGGCACUGGAUUUGCUCAUUAACUGUUGAAGCUAAUUGGAUGAUUUCCAUUGUGGGCAAGUAGCCUGGCAAGACACACCCAGAAUCAUUCUCUGAACAUGGAACCAACGGGAAUUCAACAGGAGGUGGAGUCAGACUUAGCUCAUCAAUGCAUCAACAUAAGGCCUGGAAGGUUCUGUGGCCCAAAUCCUGUAGUUCGAACCAUGCAAGUAGACCUUCACACCCAUGGAGAGCUCAGAUUUCCCAUCCAUCAGGUGGCCUUCUGCUCUUAAUUUCUAUUAUGAUGAUCAGGAGCCUGCUUUCAAAGAACCAAUGGCUGAAGGGAACAAGGGAAUCUCCCAAAGCAGCAAAAAUGAAGUGGUUUCAUUGAUCUGUAAGAAAGCACCCAUAGAGCAGGCUCAAAAAAGGGAUUUGGCAGCUGCUGCACAUCCUGCACCAGCCCUCCAUGUCCCUGCCUGAAAGGGAGUUUGAGUGAGCGUGGGGGGAAGGACAGAGGCUUGCACACAAUGAUAUACCAGUGGCCCAAGGUGCAGCUCUUUUAACAAACUGUUUCUAAAGCAAUGGCAUGGAAGUUUUAACAGCUGAAGUGCCACUUUGCCAUCAUAGAAUUGCAAAAGAAUUGAAGGUAUAAUACAGCAUGUGUGUGACAGGAUUAUCAGAAAGUAAUAGUUAAGGUUUUAGUCUUGUGGAGAGUCAUGAAGACCAUGGGUUGAAUAUAUCUAAAAAAAGUUCCAAAAGAGAAUUCAUUGGGACUUAGAGCCAUACCAUCCUGAACUGCACUUUCAUCAGAAAUUGGAUCACUACCUGGACCUUCAAGUAAUUUAGUAGAUAGCACAAUUCCCUCUGAGAGUUGGUCUGCUCUAGAAAAUCCACGUGUUUGGUAUCCAUAUAGUUUUACUGGAUGUAAACAAAGAUGCAAAUUGUAAUUCUUCCAUACUGCUGGUGCUAGUUUACAGUGUAUGUGCACAUGUUAGUAUUUACAUAGUGUGCCAGUAUUCACACUUGCAAAAUGAAGCCAGCAUCUGAAAACUUAAACCUCCCCAAUGUCAAUUUUUGCUUCUCCUAAGCUCAUCUAACUGUGAUUGUAGACCUUUCGGUGAUGAUGGUGUAAGCAGGUUAAACCAAGUUUGGCUUAAUAUUCCACAACAGAGGCUUAACAGUGUUUCAGGAAGAGUCCACAUAAAUUGAAAGUAGAAAAGGCCUAUUAUGUGGGGUCAUUCUGGAUUGAUCCUGGGGUAAAUGAGAAUCUUAUCACUGACUUUAAUGGAGCAGAACUGAGCCUUCAGUUCAUUCCUUUGUCAAUGCAGUAUUAUUCCCUAUGGGACACUUUUUAUAUUACUUUGUCAAUUUAGCAAACUUAGCCCAGAAUUUUGCAAAAAAAAAUAAUGUUUAAAUAGUGCAUUAUAAGGCUUGGAGAAAGAAAAAUAGCCAGCAUUUAUACUGUCAUUUUCUAUCACUGCCGUGUGGGAAGCUGUGUGGUUUAAGGAGAUUGUGUUGUCUAUCAGAUAAAGCCAAUCCUAGAAGCCAGCUGAGCCACUGAAUAGCUAUGUAAUUUUGGACAAUCACUUGACCUCUUUUUACCUCACUCAAGCCAGCUGGAAGAUUGGAUGAAACAGAGGACCUCAAUGAAAACUGGAUGCAGCAUCCAUUUAUAUUUCCUAGAUAGGUGAAUUACAAAAACAUAGUUUCAGAAUAUCAUUUUUGCUCAGCUAAUACUUGCAUAUUGUAUCACAAACAAAAAUUCUCUAUGAGCUAUAAAUUCAUGAGGUGUAAAAGUGCAUCUUUUCCAUUUUUGGCUCUGUUAUGUAUUAACAAGCUCUCUCAUAGCUGCCUAAAAUAAGUGGUUAAUAAAAUGCAAGAAGCAGAUGACUAUUAAAAAUUUAAGACCCUCUCUUUACACUUUUAUUAAUUCUA
This is a long non-coding RNA of Mauremys reevesii (Reeves's turtle), 2128 nucleotides long. RefSeq lists it as uncharacterized. The record is from RefSeq and is a predicted model, not a curated record. The transcript is spliced from 4 exons. Lineage: Eukaryota; Metazoa; Chordata; Testudines; Geoemydidae.